RNAcentral lists this unclassified non-coding RNA (566 nucleotides) under Fusarium solani. RNAcentral's name for it is "sequence contains 18S rRNA gene, ITS1, 5.8S rRNA gene, ITS2, 28S rRNA gene". The stretch from base 194 to 347 matches the Rfam family "5.8S ribosomal RNA". The record is from RNAcentral. Lineage: Eukaryota; Fungi; Ascomycota; Sordariomycetes; Hypocreales; Nectriaceae.
UCGUAACAAGGUCUCCGUUGGUGAACCAGCGGAGGGAUCAUUACCGAGUUAUACAACUCAUCAACCCUGUGAACAUACCUAAAACGUUGCUUCGGCGGGAACAGACGGCCCUGUAACAACGGGCCGCCCCCGCCAGAGGACCCCUAACUCUGUUUUUAUAAUGUUUUUCUGAGUAAACAAGCAAAUAAAUUAAAACUUUCAACAACGGAUCUCUUGGCUCUGGCAUCGAUGAAGAACGCAGCGAAAUGCGAUAAGUAAUGUGAAUUGCAGAAUUCAGUGAAUCAUCGAAUCUUUGAACGCACAUUGCGCCCGCCAGUAUUCUGGCGGGCAUGCCUGUUCGAGCGUCAUUACAACCCUCAGGCCCCCGGGCCUGGCGUUGGGGAUCGGCAGAAGCCCCCUGUGGGCACACGCCGUCCCUCAAAUACAGUGGCGGUCCCGCCGCAGCUUCCAUUGCGUAGUAGCUAACACCUCGCAACUGGAGAGCGGCGCGGCCAUGCCGUAAAACACCCAACUUCUGAAUGUUGACCUCGAAUCAGGUAGGAAUACCCGCUGAACCUAAGCAUAUC